RNAcentral lists this ribosomal RNA (484 nucleotides) under uncultured bacterium. Its description in RNAcentral is "bacterial SSU rRNA". It matches the Rfam family "Bacterial small subunit ribosomal RNA", at positions 28 to 502 of the family's 1533-position model. The record is from RNAcentral.
GAUGAACGCUAGCUACAGGCUUAACACAUGCAAGUCGAGGGGCAGCAUGGUCUUAGCUUGCUAAGGCCGAUGGCGACCGGCGCACGGGUGAGUAACACGUAUCCAACCUGCCGUCUACUCUUGGACAGCCUUCUGAAAGGAAGAUUAAUACAAGAUGGCAUCAUGAGUCCGCAUGUUCACAUGAUUAAAGGUAUUCCGGUAGACGAUGGGGAUGCGUUCCAUUAGAUAGUAGGCGGGGUAACGGCCCACCUAGUCUUCGAUGGAUAGGGGUUCUGAGAGGAAGGUCCCCCACAUUGGAACUGAGACACGGUCCAAACUCCUACGGGAGGCAGCAGUGAGGAAUAUUGGUCAAUGGGCGAGAGCCUGAACCAGCCAAGUAGCGUGAAGGAUGACUGCCCUAUGGGUUGUAAACUGCUUUAUAAGGGAAUAAAGUGAGUCUCGUGAGGCUUUUUGCAUGUACCUUAUGAAUAAGGACCGGCUAAUU